Molecule: transfer RNA, 73 nt
Filed under: Trichonephila clavipes
Lineage: Eukaryota; Metazoa; Arthropoda; Arachnida; Araneae; Nephilidae
Rfam family: tRNA
About the family: Transfer RNA (tRNA) molecules are approximately 80 nucleotides in length. Their secondary structure includes four short double-helical elements and three loops (D, anti-codon, and T loops).
Source: Rfam by way of RNAcentral
GGGGGCUUAGCUUAGAUGGUAAAGCGCUCGCUUAGCAUGCGAGAGGUACCGGGUUCGAUACCUGGCGCCUCCU